This 301-nucleotide ribosomal RNA is filed under the name uncultured bacterium. RNAcentral describes it as "partial 16S ribosomal RNA". It matches the Rfam family "Bacterial small subunit ribosomal RNA", at positions 509 to 808 of the family's 1533-position model. The record is from RNAcentral.
CAGCCGCCACGGUAAUACAGAGGGUGCGAGCGUUAUCGGAUUUACUGGGCGUAAAGCGUGCGUAGGCGGCUUUUUAAGUCGGAUGUGAAAUCCCUGAGCUUAACUUAGGAAUUGCAUUCGAUACUGGGAAGCUAGAGUAUGGGAGAGGAUGGUAGAAUUCCAGGUGUAGCGGUGAAAUGCGUAGAGAUCUGGAGGAAUACCGAUGGCGAAGGCAGCCAUCUGGCCUAAUACUGACGCUGAGGUACGAAAGCAUGGGGAGCAAACAGGAUUAGAUACCCCCGUAGUCCCUGUCUCUUAUACC